This 542-nucleotide long non-coding RNA is filed under the name Pongo abelii (Sumatran orangutan). RNAcentral describes it as "lincRNA". Lineage: Eukaryota; Metazoa; Chordata; Mammalia; Primates; Hominidae. The record is from RNAcentral.
CACCAGUGAAAGAGGGGAAGUUGCUACUGUGAUGAAUUCUGCCAUGUGGUACCAGACUGCUGCCCAGACCACAGUGUCCUCUGCAACCCUGCUUCUCAGAUGACCAAGAUGGUGCUGCCGAUGGUGUUGAGGACGGAGAACCCACCAAGCCCCGUUAGGAGCCACCUAGACUGGAUGCAGAGCACAGACAAUUUGCUGAGGUCUGGGAGCACCCCCUCCAGAGAGUCCCUGAUCUCUCACAACUUGGUCGUGAUCUAAAGUUUAUUUGAUGUACAACUCCCCCUCCCCUUCUUUUGGAGUUUUAUUUGCUUCCAAGAAGGAAGGCAAGAUUUCCUGGGUCCGUGAUGAUGGAAGGCUGACAACUCUUUUAUGGAUUUUGAGCUUGCUCCCAGUAGGGAAGACAAGUUCAAGUUUUUUUCCUGCUUCAAGGAUGGUGGAGAGCAGUCUUCAGCCUGAGACCCAUCCCUAGAGAAGGCUUCUACUGACUCGAGCCCCUUUAAAGGAUUCAGAACAAAGGGGCCAUUCACCCCUUCUGGGGUGCU